RNAcentral lists this ribosomal RNA (30 nucleotides) under Kockovaella chinensis. Its description in RNAcentral is "partial 26S ribosomal RNA". RNAcentral also lists the same sequence under 3 other names. Lineage: Eukaryota; Fungi; Basidiomycota; Tremellomycetes; Tremellales; Cuniculitremaceae. The record is from RNAcentral.
AUUGACCUCAAAUCAGGUAGGGCUACCCGC